AUUCGCAGACCUCACUGGCACAUGAUUAAACAACUGGAAAAUGGGAUUGAUUCCCCUACAAUUGUAUAACUUAACUAACACCUUGUGUGUGGCUGGAAUAAUGAAAUUGCCUAAAAAGCCAGCAUACCGCACUCCAUAGGAUUAACUAUGGACUUGUGGAGAUAAUGGAUGACUCCACUUUCUUUAUGAGUGGAUUGGAUGAUGCAUGAGGAACUCCCCUUAUCUCUUGACAAGUUUUCUACCACUUGCCAGUGAUCCUCUGUAAUCAGGAUAUUGUUAAGACUGGACCACUCAAAGGGCUUCUUAAUGGUUUCAUCCCUUAGUCAUAUUUAUUCUAGAAGCCACCUCUGUUGAGGUGCAAUUGCAAACA
Molecule: long non-coding RNA, 370 nt
Organism: Lutra lutra (Eurasian river otter)
Lineage: Eukaryota; Metazoa; Chordata; Mammalia; Carnivora; Mustelidae
Exons: 3
Source: RefSeq, a predicted model, not a curated record